This 1503-nucleotide long non-coding RNA is filed under the name Homo sapiens (human). Its description in RNAcentral is "non-protein coding lnc-ZNF721-1:5". The record is from RNAcentral. Lineage: Eukaryota; Metazoa; Chordata; Mammalia; Primates; Hominidae.
UCGCUCUGUAACCUGCGGGUAUUGGAUGAUUCGUAGCUAAGACUUCGCGACACCCUUGAAGCUGAGAAAUGGAACCCUUAACAUUCAGGGAUGUGGCCAUAGAAUUCUCUCCAGAAGAGUGGAAAUGCCUGGACCCUGCCCAGCAGAAUUUGUAUAGAGAUGUGAUGUUGGAGAACUACAGAAACCUGGUCUCCCUAGGAUAUGUCGUUAUUGAUCCAGCUCAACUUUAUGUAUAUGAGAAACUUGGACAGUCUGGACAAUAGAAUAAAUGAAGUCAAUAAAACCAUUCUUUUAACAAACUUAAUACCAUACCUUCAGAGUGUUAUUUUCCUUUUUGUCAUAAGGUGUCUGGAAAUGAAGUAUGGAAAUGAAAUCAUGAAUAAAGACCCAGUUUUCAGAAUCUCUCCACGAAGUAGAGGAACUCAUACCAAUCCAGAAGAGCCUGAAGAAGAUGUUCAAGCUGAAAGAGUCCAAGCAGCAAAUGCACUCACUACUCCAAACUUGGAGGAGGAACCAGUCAUAACUGCAAGCUGUUUACACAAGGAAUAUUAUGAGACAAAGAAAGUUGCUUUUCAACAACAAAGAAGAAAGCAGCCAUCAGAAAUGUUUCGUUUUGUGUUAAAAAGUGAAGUUUUGGGAUUACUAGGACACAAUGGAGCUGGCAAAAGUACUUCCAUUAAAAUGAUAACUGGGUGCACAGUGCCAACUGCAGGAGUGGUGGUGUUACAAGGCAACAGAGCAUCAGUAAGGCAACAGCGUGACAACAGCCUCAAGUUCUUGGGUACUGCCCUCAGGAGAACUCACUGUGUCCCAAACUUACAAUGAAAGAGCAUUUGGAGUUGUAUGCAGCCGUGAAAGGACUGGGCAAAGAUGCUGCUCUUAGUAUUUCAUGAUUGGUGGAAGCUCUCAAGCUCCAGGAGCAACUUAAGGCUCCCGUGAAAACUCUAUCAGAGGGAAUAAAGAGAAAGCUAUGCUUCGUGCUGAGCAUACUGGGGAACCCAUCAGUGGUGCUUCUAGACGAGCUGUUCACCGGGAUGGACCCUGAGGGGCAGCAGCAAAUGUGGCAGAUACUUCAGGCUACCAUUAAAAACCAGGAGAGGGGCGCCCUCUUGACCACCCAUUACAUGUCAGAGGCUAAGUCUCUGUGUGACCGUGUGGCCAUCAUGGUGUCAGGAACGCUAAGGUGUAUUGGUUCCAUUCAACAGCUGAAAAGUUUGGUAAAGAUUAUUUACUAGAAAUAAAAAUGAAAGAACCUACUCAGGUGGAAGCUCUCCACACAGAGAUUUUGAAGCUUUUCCCACAGGCUGCUUGGCAGGAAAGAUAUUCCUCUUUAAUGGCAUGUAAGUUACCUGUGGAGGAUGUCCACCCUCUGUCUCAGGCCUUUUUCAAAUUAAAGGCAGUGAAACAGACCUUCAACCUGGAGGAAUACAGCCUCUCUCAGGCUACCUUGGAGCAGGUGUUCUUAGAACUCUGUAAAGAGCAGGCGCUGGGAAAUGUUGAUGA